UACGUAGGGGGCAAGCGUUGUCCGGAUUCAUUGGGCGUAAAGAGCUCGUAGGCGGCUUGGCAAGUCGGGUGUGAAACCUCCAGGCUCAACCUGGAGACGCCACCCGAUACUGCCAUGGCUAGAGUCCGGUAGGGGACCACGGAAUUCCUGGUGUAGCGGUGAAAUGCGCAGAUAUCUGGAGGAACACCGGUGGCGAAGGCGGCGUUCUGGACUGUCUCUGACACUGAAGAACGAAAGCCAGGGGAGCAAACGGG
Molecule: ribosomal RNA, 254 nt
Filed under: uncultured bacterium
Lineage: Bacteria
Description: partial 16S ribosomal RNA
Rfam family: Bacterial small subunit ribosomal RNA
Source: RNAcentral